This 206-nucleotide ribosomal RNA is filed under the name uncultured bacterium. RNAcentral's name for it is "partial 16S ribosomal RNA". It matches the Rfam family "Bacterial small subunit ribosomal RNA", at positions 1295 to 1500 of the family's 1533-position model. The record is from RNAcentral.
GGAUUACAGGCUGCAACUCGCCUGCAUGAAGCUGGAAUUGCUAGUAAUCGCGGAUCAGCAAGCCGCGGUGAAUACGUUCCCGGGCCUUGUACACACCGCCCGUCACACCAUGAGAGUCGGGAACACCCGAAGUCCGUAGUCUAACCGCAAGGGGGGCGCGGCCGAAGGUGGGUCCGGUAAUUGGGGUGAAGUCGUAACAAGGUACC